ACCAAUAAAUGAAGAAAAUAAUUAAAACAGAUUCGAUCUCACAGUAAUUGUCGAACCAAAUCGUCAGUUGUCCCCUUGACUAGAAAAGCUUAACCACGCCUCAUGAGAAACUCUCCCCGUUGGGAAAUAUUGUCGAACACCUGGCGUGUGUCAAAGGCCAGUCCGGAGAAAGCAAAACUAAAACUAAACUAAAAGACUAAAACUCCAGAUGUCCCUGCUACUCUACGUUAUCCCUAUUUAAGCAACAAGAGGAAGAUGACUAAAGGCUAUCUAGGUGGUCCCCACACAUGUGGACAAAGCCCUCCAAGUACUUCUUGUUCCAAGUCUCUUUUCCGUAGCUUUCUUUUAAGAGCCCAAAUGACUAGAUGCUUUCCACUAGCUUGUGGUCCCCCACCAAUUCAAGGGCCCAAGAAUUGAAGCCCUUAGAAGUCUCCCUAUUUUCCAUAAAGUCCUUCCUUUUUGAUGAUUUUCUGCUUCAUUCCUGAAAUUAAGUCCAGAUACCAAAUAUGAGUAAAUAUCAACAAUUAAUACAAUAUUUAUCAGGGAUAAAAGGGAAAAUUAAUAAUAAAAAUACUAACAAAUUAUACCCUAUCAAUUCCCCCCACACCUGAAUCAUGCUUGCCCUCAAGCAUGGGGACAACUCAACUCAAAACUGGCUAGCAUUCAAGCUUUCAUUGCCAGCUGUGCUUAUACCAAAAAAUCAAGAUUUAACGGCUAAGUGUCAAGUCAGAUCUCACUCGGUUAGCUUCUAAGUUCAUAGACCUGUCCAAUUCAUGGCUAAUUCGCGUAGGAAAUCCAAAUAUUAACUAGCAACAGUCAGUAAUUAAGUCAACUGGCAACCAAAAUCUCAACAAUACGAACCAAGGAUCGGCAGGCUAACAUGAUCAUAAACUCACAUAUUCUCCACAUCUGAUUUUCUUUUUUUCUUCUAUUUUGUUUCUUUUUUCCUUUUUUUUUUUUUUGAAUUGCACGAAUAAUGCUUAGUCCCGAGCUAUUCAAGUCUUUUGACGUGAACUAUGACAUUUUUAGAUGAAAGAGCCCAGUUACUCGAUCUUUCAUAGCUCCAGGACUAUUUACUCAUGGAUAUCGCCACUUUUUGACGCGAGAGCUGACACUUGUGGUGAAAACUCCCGGUUACUAGGUGGCGACACUAGCGGAGUAUAGCCAUACGUUAUUCACCAAAAAACACCAAGAUACCAAAUAAUUACAGAUCAUAGCCUGCGUCAUGUCCUAAAUAUGGAGAACUAAGGUAACCAGGAGACCAAACUACACAACAAUGCCGGCAAAAUAUUUAUAUUGCCUAAACAAGUUAGCCAUAAAUUGCACCAAGUCGUUAAACUCAAAGUAUUCACCAAGAAAGCAUGCUUUUACUAGCCACCGAAACUCAACCCAUAGUAUAAACUACAACUAGCAAUAAAGAAGUGAGCUGCCAACAUAUUCACUAAGACAAAAGCAAGGAAAAAUCACCCAAAAGGGAUAAAGGAACAACACCUAAAAUAGAAAACACUUAAACUAAAAACAUAGGAAAAACACCCCAAAAACGGAAAACUGGAAACAUGUAGCACCCAAACUGACCCCCCUACACCUAAGUCACACAUUGCCCUCAAUGUGAAAAUGGAAAAGCAGAAAAAGGAGAAGGGCAACGGUACUUCCCUGUAGUCGUCAGAACAUGGGAGGGUUAGGCGGAAACUGAGGAGGGAACCCGGCUUGCUGCAUAAAUGCCGCUAUAUUCUGUGCUAUGCCGGCGACAUUGGUGUCAACAUUGACUAUCCGAGCCUCCAAAGCCUGCGUUUCUGAAGCCUUUAUUGGGACACAGAAAACGCGAUUGAAAAUGCGCCUUCAACUCGAGUUUUCUAAAUCGCAUUUCCUGCACAAAACUUGCAGGAAUGAAAACGCGCCUCCAACUCGCGUUUUCUAAAUCGCGUUUUCUGCACAAAACUUGCAGAAAUGGAAACGCGACUGUGCAGGUAAACGCGACUUCGAGUCGCAAUUUUUUUUUUUUUUUUGAAUCUUGACCCCUUCCUGCACUUCAUCACGCGGCCGCGUCAAGAGGAAAUGACACCUACAUAACAGCAAAAACGAAAAUUAACACCCAAAAUCAGUCAAAUUCAAGGAAAAUAGAUUUCAACUAAGACACGAAAUCAAAUAAACAAUUAAAAGAAACAAUUGGGUUGCCUCCCAAUGAGCGCCUUUCUUUAAUGUCUUUGGCUAGACAUUAUCAUGUUUUGUUCAUGGAGGAUAAAAUCUUGUGGCUCGUCUCAUUGCUUCAUCCUCUACAUAGUCCUGAUAGCCCUCAUAGAUGGAGUAAUCUUUGAGCACACGAGCUACGGUCUUCCAUGAACUAGUUGAUGGCGCCAAGUAAUCAAGCAUUGAUCGCAAUUCUUCAUCCACUCCUCCAUCAAGAGCCUUCGACGGUUCAAGAUAUUUGACCAUAGCUAUUCUUAACUCAUUCCUGCCAUGAGACUCAAGAACUUCCGGUAUAACAAAAUCAAUCCCAUUAACAGAAAUCAUGGAGUAAGAAUUAAGAAAAUGCGGGUUAGGGAAUGGAGGUGGUGUCACCACAUUUGAUGAUUCUUCACUGGAUUCUUUCACUUGAAUGGGUUGCGGUUGGGGUUUCAUUUCUUCAUUUUCAGCUUCUUUUUCAACUGCAUCUGUACAUCUCUCUUCUUGAAAAUCUUGCAGCUCCUCAUCACUAGUCAGGCAAAUUGUACUCUCAUUUUCUUCAAAAUCAACAAUGGUUUUUGAGGGCAAUUCUUCAAUUUGAGAAGCCACCAAUCGAUUUAUUCUGGAUGUCAAUAGACAUAUUUGAUCUUCCAGAUUACUCAUUGCAUCCUUCAUCAUCUCAUUUCUCAUUCGUGUCUCCUGUUGGAAUUUAUACGUAUUAGUAGCUAUUGAUUCAACCAUUUCUUCAAGAGACAUACCUGACAUAGACGAUGAUUCUGGAGACUCAUACUGCUGAAAAUUCACUGGCCCUGUUGUAUAAUUAUAGCUGGAGUUAUCCCACCAUCCUUGAUCAUACCCGUUUGGAUUAGGGUUAUACCACGUUUGAGACCAUGGUGAAAAAUCUCCAUAAUUAUUAAGUGGGACACUCAGAUUAUCUUGAUAUUCGGGGCACAUACCGGUUGAAUGAUCCCUGACAUAACAAAUUUUACAGGUUGCAGCAGCCAUUCUUUCUCUAAUAGAGUUUAGUGCCUCUGAAUAUGCAAACUUAGCGAAAAAACUAGUCUCAUCGCCUUCCCCGGAAACAAAAUCCAUUAUAUCACCAAAAUACGGAGUGUUAGAAGCCAUAAACUAUAUAAAAAAAAUAAGAGAAAAAUAAAUAAGAAAAAUAAGAAAAAAGAUGAACUCAAAAAGAAACAAAUUAACCUGGCACCAGUCCCCGGCAACGGCGCCAAAAAUUGACAGGUGCCGAACCUGUACAAUAAUAAAACCUACUCGAGAAAAAUACAGAUUUUGUAUAUAGCGGUGAGUAGGGUCGAAUCCACAGGGACUGGGGAUAAUUCGUUUCUUCUAGAGUUCAAAGUAUGGGGGGUUUUGGAUUAAAUGCUAACUAAAUAAAUUAACUGCAGAAAAUAAUUAAUUAAAAGAAAUGAUUGGGGAAACUCUAGCCAAGGGUACACAUCAGAAAUGGUUCAUGCACUGAUCAUUGAUGCAGAAAUAAUUCCAACAUUUAGCAAUAGAUUAGUUAUAGUUGUCAUACACGCGAUAAACAACCAACCCUUCUUUAAUUUCUCGAUAGCUAAGGUACGACCGUUAGCUAUUUCUCUAACCCAAAAAUAACCCUAGGUACGACCGUAGGAUUUAAUUUCUAGAUUGCAUUAAUAAUUAGAAAGGCCCAAUCCUAACCAACAAACACGCUACGAGGGUUUGUUUAAAUUAGAUCAUAUGCUCCCCUGACAUAAACCCAAUUACGCCAGUUGCUACUGAGGUAGAGAUAAUGAACAAUUACGAAUUCAAUUACCCCUAUUUAACAAAAAUAGCCUAUAUGAAUAAUUAAUUAUUGCGCACUAAUCAAUCAUACACAAGACCAUAGCAAUUAAAAUCAAGGAACAUAUAAAUACCAAUAAAUGAAGAAAAUAAUUAAAACAGAUUCGAUCUCACAGUAAUUGUCGAACCAAAUCGUCAGUUGUCCCCUUGACUAGAAAAGCUUAACCACGCCUCAUGAGAAACUCUCCCCGUUGGGAAAUAUUGUCGAACACCUGGCGUGUGUCAGAGGCCAGUCCGGAGAAAGCAAAACUAAAACUAAACUAAAAGACUAAAACUCCAGAUGUCCCUGCUACUCUACGUUAUCCCUAUUUAAGCAACAAGAGGAAGAUGACUAAAGGCUAUCUAGGUGGUCCCCACACAUGUGGACAAAGCCCUCCAAGUACUUCUUGUUCC
Molecule: long non-coding RNA, 4380 nt
Filed under: Coffea arabica (coffee)
Lineage: Eukaryota; Viridiplantae; Streptophyta; Magnoliopsida; Gentianales; Rubiaceae
Description: long non-coding RNA (CARA_LNC001105)
Source: RNAcentral